This 73-nucleotide transfer RNA is filed under the name Paenibacillus xylanexedens. RNAcentral describes it as "tRNA-Arg". Lineage: Bacteria; Bacillati; Bacillota; Bacilli; Caryophanales; Paenibacillaceae. The record is from RNAcentral.
GCUCCCGCCAAUGGAUUUGGUAGCGAGACUUCUAAUCUUGCCAUCGUGGGUUCGAUUCCUACCGGGAGUGCCA